Molecule: ribosomal RNA, 461 nt
Filed under: uncultured Acidimicrobiales bacterium
Lineage: Bacteria; Bacillati; Actinomycetota; Acidimicrobiia; Acidimicrobiales
Description: bacterial SSU rRNA
Rfam family: Bacterial small subunit ribosomal RNA
Source: RNAcentral
GACGAACGCUGGAGGCGUGCUUAACACAUGCAAGUCGAACGAACCCGAGACUUCGGUCUCAAUGGGUGAGUGGCGAACGGGUGAGUAACACGUGAGAAACCUGCCUCGGAGUACGGGAUAACCCAAGGAAACCUGGGCUAAUACCGCAUACCUCCCAGACACCGCAUGGUGACUGGAAGAAAGAUUUAUCGCUCUGAGAGGGUCUCGCGGUCUAUCAGCUUGUUGGUGAGGUAACGGCUCACCAAGGCUUCGACGGAUAGCUAGUCUGAGAGGACGAAUAGCCACACUGGAACUGAGACACGGUCCAGACUCCUACGGGAGGCAGCAGUGGGGAAUCUUGCACAAUGGGCGAAAGCCUGAUGCAGCGACGCCUCGUGGGGGAUGAAGGCCCUAGGGUCGUAAACCCCUUUCAGGAGGGACGAAAAUGACGGUACCUCCAGAAGAAGCCCCGGCCAACUACG